Molecule: ribosomal RNA, 497 nt
Filed under: uncultured bacterium
Lineage: Bacteria
Description: partial 16S ribosomal RNA
Rfam family: Bacterial small subunit ribosomal RNA
Source: RNAcentral
GAUGAACGCUGGCGGCGUGCCUAAUACAUGCAAGUCGAGCGAACAGACGAGGAGCUUGCUCCUCUGACGUUAGCGGCGGACGGGUGAGUAACACGUGGAUAACCUACCUAUAAGACUGGGAUAACUUCGGGAAACCGGAGCUAAUACCGGAUAAUAUAUUGAAGCGCAUGGUUCAAUAGUGAAAGACGGUUUUGCUGUCACUUAUAGAUGGAUCCGCGCCGCAUUAGCUAGUUGGUAAGGUAACGGCUUACCAAGGGAACGAGGCGUAGCCGACCUGAGAGGGUGAUCGGCCACACUGGAACUGAGCCACGGUCCAGACUCCUACGGGAGGCAGCAGUAGGGAACCUUCCGCAAUGGUCGAAAGCUUGACGGAGCAACGCCGCGUGAGUGAUGAAGGUCUUCGGAUCGUAAAACUCUGUUAUUAGGGAAGAACAAAUGUGUAAGUAACUAUGCACGUCUUGACGGUACCUAAUCAGAAAGCCACGGCUAACUACGUG